RNAcentral lists this long non-coding RNA (517 nucleotides) under Salmo salar (Atlantic salmon). RNAcentral's name for it is "lncRNA (ENSSSAG00000102392.1)". The record is from RNAcentral. Lineage: Eukaryota; Metazoa; Chordata; Actinopteri; Salmoniformes; Salmonidae.
ACAGUGACCUGCUCAAAGGGUUCCAGGACUCUGCACACCUCCUCCACCACCUCCCAUUCCUCUUGGGUCAGAGCAUCAACAGUUCCUAAGCCAAGUUCUCUGAGGUUUGUCUGUUGCUGAACUCAAACCAGUCCAGAAGACAGCUAGACAUAUAAAAAUCUUCAAUGAAGUGACAUGUAACCGACAUGUAAGAAGUGGUUACCCUUGAUGUCCAGCAGUCAGUGGACCUGAGCCCUAGGACCAUGCCUCAGGACUACCUGGCAUGAUGACUCCUUGCUGUCCCCAGUCCACCUGGCUGUGCUGCUGCUCCAGUUUGAACUGUUCUGCCUGCGGCUAUGGAACCCUGACCUGCUCACCGGACGUGCUACCUGUCCCAGACCUGCUGUUUUCAACUCUCUAGCGACAGCAGGAGCGGUAGAGAUACUCUCAAAGAUCGGCUAUGAAAAAGCCAACUGACACUUACUCUUGUGUUGCUGACUUGUUGCACCCUCGACAACUACUAUGAUUAUUAUUAUUU